AUGACGGCCAAAUACAUGAGGAACAAUGUCCAAGGACUUGCACUGCUUUGUUUUGUUCUUGUGGUAUGCUUUGCCUGUCUUGGAUGCGCAAACGGUGAAAGCAUAAACGACAAGGGGAGCAACGGGAUGAUCGAAGUAGUCCGCCCCCCUUGUUAUAAAGACCAUCACCAGCCCCCAGACCUGCAAUAUUGUUGUCAAACGGACAGGAUAUGUUGGCUAGCAAAUUCUAUGUUUUCGCGAUUGCACCAUCUGUAUGCUGGGCAAUGGGAGGCGCACGACCUUCUGGCGCGACGCGUGUGGGGGGAGUGGGUGGGAGCGGAGGCUCCUUACACUCCAACCGCACCAACGCCUGUGUUGCAACUAUUCUCCCGCACAUUGAAAACCACCUCCAGCUCAGGCUUUCCGCGGUCGCGCACGCUGAGCUUGGCAAUCUGUGUGCACAUGCCCGCGCCAUUUGGGCUCUGGCCGUGCCGGGUGCGCCUGCUACCGCAUCACCAUCCAUCCUAUGAAACGUCUGGAAGAGUCACAACAACAAGGUCUUCCGUACGUGAUAAGCAUUCCACCCCCGCCUAUGUUGCACGCAAUAUCGCCGUCCUGCUGUGCUGGUGGCCAUGUUCUCGUGCGCUUUGCGGACCUCCAAGGUGGCUCGCCAAAGUGAAACCAUUAUCGUUGAACGAAUCAGACCGGAGCAACACCCCGGACACGCCAUCGAACUCCAGAUCUAGCACCCCUACACGACAAAGACGUUGGAGGAGGAAACCAUACCUUCCAUCGACGAACCACAAACUCAGCACACGAUCCACCAUCUUUCAUAAGCCCGUCGAUGUAGACCACAAUUUGCAUCCGCUCCUGCACUACCUCCAAGCUCCGCGCCGUGCUGAAGCAAAUGCCAUCGCAAUGGCGGAGCCCAGUGGCGGAGCCAGGAUUUCCGACAUGGGUAUGCGCGGUAAAGAUUAUUUUUUGCUUCACAACAAUGAUGUGAUGUGUGAUGCUAUGUGGUCCAAACAUCGCUAUGUGCUAUCCAUGCCACACGAUCAUCACGGAUUGAACGAUGUACGAGGCGGCCGACGCGUGAGAGUUAUCCGCCAGCUGAACCAAAGCUUUUUCCAUAAAAAGAUCGAUCACCUGCCUGGCCAUUGGAUGGAGCUGCAGAUGGCCGUCUGA
RNAcentral lists this ribosomal RNA (1164 nucleotides) under Triticum aestivum (bread wheat). RNAcentral describes it as "partial small subunit ribosomal RNA". Lineage: Eukaryota; Viridiplantae; Streptophyta; Magnoliopsida; Poales; Poaceae. The record is from RNAcentral.